Molecule: long non-coding RNA, 1000 nt
Organism: Dicentrarchus labrax (European seabass)
Lineage: Eukaryota; Metazoa; Chordata; Actinopteri; Moronidae
Exons: 4
Source: RefSeq, a predicted model, not a curated record
CUCUUCCUCACAGGUUAGUUAAUGACAGACAGUCAGUGAGUGUGUGUGUGUCCAACUCUUCCUCACAGGUUAGUUAAUGACAGACAGUCAGUGAGUGUGUCUGUGUCCAACUCUUCCUCACAGGUUAGUUAAUGACAGACAGUCAGUGAGUGUGUCUGUGUCCAACUCUUCCUCACAGGUUAGUUAAUGACAGACAGUCAGUGAGUGUGUCUGUGUCCAACUCUUCCUCACAGGUUAGUUAAUGACAGACAGUCAGUGAGUGUGUCUGUGUCCAACUCUUCCUCACAGGUUAGUUAAUGACAGACAGUCAGUGAGUGUGUGUGUGUCCAACUCUUCCUCACAGGUUAGUUAAUGACAGACAGUCAGUGAGUGUGUGUGUGUCCAACUCUUCCUCACAGGUUAGUUAAUGACAGACAGUCAGUGAGUGUGUCUGUGUCCAACUCUUCCUCACAGGUUAGUUAAUGACAGACAGUCAGUGAGUGUGUCUGUGUCCAACUCUUCCUCACAGGUUAGUUAAUGACAGACAGUCAGUGAGUGUGUGUGUGUCCAACUCUUCCUCACAGGUUAGUUAAUGACAGACAGUCAGUGAGUGUGUGUGUGUCCAACUCUUCCUCACAGGUUAGUUAAUGACAGACAGUCAGUGAGUGUGUCUGUGUCCAACUCUUCCUCACAGGUUAGUUAAUGACAGACAGUCAGUGAGUGUGUGUGUGUCCAACUCUUCCUCACAGGUUAGUUAAUGACAGACAGUCAGUGAGUGUGUGUGUGUCCAACUCUUCCUCACAGGUUAGUUAAUGACAGACAGUCAGUGAGUGUGUGUGUGUCCAACUCUUCCUCACAGGUUAGUUAAUGACAGACAGUCAGUGAGUGUGUCUGUGUCCAACUCUUCCUCACAGGUUAGUUAAUGAUGUUACUGAGUCAAUGUGAGCAGAUUGUGUCUGUAGACUGAAGAGAAUCAGAGUCUCACUGAUGGUGGAAAUAAAGGUUUUACUUCCUUAAAACA